RNAcentral lists this microRNA precursor (85 nucleotides) under Bombyx mori (domestic silkworm). RNAcentral's name for it is "mir-2807 microRNA precursor family". It matches the Rfam family "mir-2807 microRNA precursor family". The record is from Rfam by way of RNAcentral. Lineage: Eukaryota; Metazoa; Arthropoda; Insecta; Lepidoptera; Bombycidae.
UUAACUCUAAUUUGUAUGGAGUUGGAACGUUUGCCUACGUUUGCCACAAGGGGUGCUGUUACAACUGCAUAUUUAAUUCAAUAUA